RNAcentral lists this ribosomal RNA (468 nucleotides) under uncultured bacterium. Its description in RNAcentral is "partial 16S ribosomal RNA". It matches the Rfam family "Bacterial small subunit ribosomal RNA", at positions 28 to 507 of the family's 1533-position model. The record is from RNAcentral.
GACGAACGCUGGCGGCGUGCUUAACACAUGCAAGUCGAACGGAAAGGCCCUGCUUUUGGGGGGUGCUCGAGUGGCGAACGGGUGAGUAACACGUGAGUAACCUGCCCUUGACUUUGGGAUAACUUCAGGAAACUGGGGCUAAUACCGGAUAGGAGCUCCUGCUGCAUGGGGGGGGUUGGAAAGUUUCGGCGGUUGGGGAUGGACUCGCGGCUUAUCAGCUUGUUGGUGGGGUAGUGGCUUACCAAGGCUUUGACGGGUAGCCGGCCUGAGAGGGUGACCGGCCACAUUGGGACUGAGGUACGGCCCAGCCUCCUACGGGAGGCAGCAGUGGGGAAUAUUGCACAAUGGGCGGAAGCCUGAUGCAGCAACGCCGCGUGCGGGAUGACGGCCUUCGGGUUGUAAACCGCUUUCGCCUGUGACGAAGCGUGAGUGACGGUAAUGGGUAAAGAAGCACCGGCUAACUACGUG